Molecule: ribosomal RNA, 470 nt
Filed under: uncultured bacterium
Lineage: Bacteria
Description: bacterial SSU rRNA
Rfam family: Bacterial small subunit ribosomal RNA
Source: RNAcentral
UAAGGAGCUUGCUCCUUUGACGUUAGCGGCGGACGGGUGAGUAACACGUGGAUAACCUACCUAUAAGACUGGGAUAACUUCGGGAAACCGGAGCUAAUACCGGAUAACAUAUUGAACCGCAUGGUUCAAUAGUGAAAGGCGGCUUUGCUGUCACUUAUAGAUGGAUCCGCGCCGUAUUAGCUAGUUGGUAAGGUAACGGCUUACCAAGGCAACGAUACGUAGCCGACCUGAGAGGGUGAUCGGCCACACUGGAACUGAGACACGGUCCAGACUCCUACGGGAGGCAGCAGUAGGGAAUCUUCCGCAAUGGGCGAAAGCCUGACGGAGCAACGCCGCGUGAGUGAUGAAGGUCUUCGGAUCGUAAAACUCUGUUGUCAGGGAAGAACAAAUGUGUAAGUAACUGUGCACAUCUUGACGGUACCUGAUCAGAAAGCCACGGCUAACUACGUGCCAGCAGCCGCGGUAAUACG